This 2538-nucleotide unclassified non-coding RNA is filed under the name uncultured fungus. RNAcentral's name for it is "sequence contains 18S rRNA gene, ITS1, 5.8S rRNA gene, ITS2, 28S rRNA gene". Lineage: Eukaryota; Fungi. The record is from RNAcentral.
GCACGGCACGCCUGCGUCGCAACCUGACCAUCGAGGAUGUGGCCCAAAAGAUCGGCACCGGGCGCCAUAGCGUGUUCGCCGCGGAAAGCGGCAAACCAUCAACCAGCGUGGCAGUCUACACCGCGCUGCUCUGGACCUAUGACCUGCUGGGGCCAAUGGAAGGUCUUGCCGAACCGGCCACUGAUGAGACCGGGCUGGCCUUGGCCUCGCCCCGCGAACGAGCCCGCACCAGGAAGUCCGGGGACCUCGACAGUGACUUCUGAUUGUUUCGUCUAUGUCGUCCUCCCCGGCGAAACGGAAUUCGUGACCGCCGGGCGCUUUGCGCAUGCUAUCGAUCGGCAUGGGGUCGCAACGGGACGAUUCGUCUACGGCAAGAGCUACCUUGCCGGACAGAAUGCGGUGCCUCUCGAUCCGCUCGAACUGAAGCUCUCGAGCCGGACUUAUGAAACCCAGCUGCACAAGGGCAUUUUCGGCGCCCUGCGUGACGCCGGCCCCGAUCACUGGGGCCGUCGCAUCAUCGAACGCCGCUUCGGCUCGCCUGGACCGGAUGAACUCGACUACCUGCUGCACUCUCCGGAUGACCGGGCGGGCGCGCUCGGCUUCGGACUCAACCAGGACCCACCUGCGCCGAAACGAAACUUCAAUCGCACAAUGGACCUUCAGAAACUCCAGGCAUUCGCCGAUGCGAUCAUCAAUGACGAAGAGCUGCCGCAAGACGCUGACGCCGAACGAGCACAGGAACUCAUGGACGGCGGAACCUCGAUGGGUGGCGCUCGUCCCAAGGCCGUAGUCGAAGAUGAUCAUGCAUUGUGGAUUGCAAAAUUCAAUCGGCCCGACGACAAAUGGAACCAUGCCAGGGUCGAGCGCGCGAUGCUCGAGCUCGCCCGUGACUGCGGCAUCCAUAGCGCCGAAAGCAAACUCACCACUAUUGGAGAUCGCGAUGCACUGCUCGUCAAACGCUUCGACAGAGAGCGCAAGGAGUCGGGCUAUCGCCGCGCGCGAAUGCUCAGCGCGCUGACCUUGCUCCGCGCCGAGGACACGCACCAGGAUCGAUCGAAAUGGUCCUAUGUGUUGUUGGUCGAAGAGCUCCGCCGCAUCAGCAGCCGACCUAAGGUCGAUGCUCCCGAACUUUUUCGACGCAUGUGCUUCAACGCACUGAUAAGCAAUACCGAUGAUCACCCGCGUAAUCACGCGGUAAUCGCCAUGGAUGAGUCCUGGACCCUCUCACCAGCUUACGACCUUGUGCCGAACAUGCCGGUCAGCCUCGAGCGCCGCGACCUCGCCCUCGAAUGCGGCGAUAUGGGGCGUUACGCUCAUGCCCGGAAUCUGCUCUCUCAAUCAGCCCGCUUCCUCCUGGAACCGGACAACGCCACGGCCAUCGUCGAUGAAAUGGAGCAGACUGUCCGAAACCGCUGGUAUGAGAUUGCACGUCGCGAGGGCGUAAGCGAGAAGGAAUGCGAGACCAUUCGCUCCGCCUUCGCUUACGAAGGGUUUCGACUGCCGGUGGCCUGGCAGUAUGCGUAAGUUCCGGGCCAUUGUAGCCGGCUCCGCAGCAACGGCAGGCGCCGAUGCGCCCGAUCCAGGCGCAUAAUCCCCUCGCCGGUCGGGGUGGGGAGAACGCGCCAUGCCAGGCUUCUGGUCCGAGCUGAAACGUCGAAAUGUCGCGAAGGCGGCCAUCGCCUACGCAGCGAUCGGCUGGCUCUUGAUCGAGGUCUCCUCCGCCAUCUUCCCGAUCUACAAGGCGCCGGACUGGGUCCUGCAGGUGCUGGUCGCGACCAUCCUGCUCGGCUUCCCGGUGGCGAUGAUCCUGUCCUGGGUGUUCGACGUCACGCCCGCGGGCGUGGUGCGGACGGACGCCGUGGCCACCGAUACUUCGGCCCGGGCCUGGUCGCGUCGCCGGCUCGACGUCAUCAUCGCCGUCGCCCUGGUCGCGGCGAUUGCCGUGUUCGUCGCCGACCGGAUGUUCGAGACGAAAAGGCCCUGCCGAAACCGCGGACGCGAGCCCGCCCGCCGCCGCCAUGACCUCCGUCGCCGUGCUUCCCUUCGUCAAUUUGAGCGGCGAUCCCGAGCAGGAAUAUUUCGCCGACGGCCUCACCGAGGAACUCCUGAGCCGGCUGGCGCAGGUUCCGGACCUCAAGGUGCCCGCCCGUUCGUCGUCGUUUCACUUCAAGGGCAAGACGGACCUCGCGGAAGUCAAAGCCAGGCUCGGCGUCGCCACCGUGCUCCAGGGCAGUGUGCGCAUGUCGGGCUCCGCCUUGCGCAUCAAUGCAGAGCUCACCGACGUCAAUACCGGCUACAACGUCUGGUCGAAUUCCUACGACCGCGAACUGACGGACAUUUUCGCCGUGCAGGACGACAUCACGUCGGCGAUCGUCGCGGCGCUCAAGAUUCACAUGGACGACGCGGUCGCGGCGCGCAUCUCGAGCCAGCCGGUGGACCCCGGGCUCUACCAGCUGAUGCUGCGCGGCCGCUACCACUGGAACCAGCGCAACGAGGAAGGCUUCGCCAAGGCGGCAGAACUCUUCAACGAAGCGGUGA